AGAUUGAACGCUGGCGGCAGGCCUAACACAUGCAAGUCGAGCGGUAGAGAGGUGCUUGCACCUCUUGAGAGCGGCGGACGGGUGAGUAAUGCCUAGGAAUCUGCCUAGUGGUGGGGGAUAACGUUCGGAAACGGACGCUAAUACCGCAUACGUCCUACGGGAGAAAGCGGGGGACCUUCGGGCCUCGCGCCAUUAGAUGAGCCUAGGUCGGAUUAGCUUGUUGGUGAGGUAAUGGCUCACCAAGGCGACGAUCCGUAACUGGUCUGAGA
Molecule: ribosomal RNA, 269 nt
Filed under: uncultured soil bacterium
Lineage: Bacteria
Description: partial 16S ribosomal RNA
Rfam family: Bacterial small subunit ribosomal RNA
Source: RNAcentral